AACUUUUACAAGAUAUCAGCACUUUUCUUUCAUUGAGGGGAAGGUGUGAGUAAAGUACCAAACAGAAGCAGACUUUAAACUUUAAACUUUAAAUCGCCAGGUCUGAGUGUCUGAAAUUGCCUUUCAUUUCACUCCAUCCUCCACAGAGUUCCAUCAAUUGGAGUGCCUACUGCACUUCUUUAAAUGAAAGAGUAAGUUAAAAAG
This 204-nucleotide non-coding RNA is filed under the name Ictidomys tridecemlineatus (thirteen-lined ground squirrel). Its description in RNAcentral is "Spermophilus tridecemlineatus (thirteen-lined ground squirrel) Connexin-43 internal ribosome entry site (IRES)". It matches the Rfam family "Connexin-43 internal ribosome entry site (IRES)". Rfam says of the family: This family represents the connexin-43 internal ribosome entry site (IRES) which allows cap independent translation during conditions such as heat shock and stress. Lineage: Eukaryota; Metazoa; Chordata; Mammalia; Rodentia; Sciuridae. The record is from Rfam by way of RNAcentral.